Molecule: ribosomal RNA, 409 nt
Filed under: bacterium
Lineage: Bacteria
Description: partial 16S ribosomal RNA
Rfam family: Bacterial small subunit ribosomal RNA
Source: RNAcentral
UGGGGAAUAUUGCUCAAUGGGCGCAAGCCUGAAGCAGCGACGCCGCGUGAGGGAUGAAGGCCUUCGGGUUGUAAACCUCUUUCAGCGCCGAAGAAGCGAAAGUGACGGUAGGCGCAGAAGAAGCACCGGCUAACUACGUGCCAGCAGCCGCGGUAAUACGUAGGGUGCAAGCGUUGUCCGGAAUCAUUGGGCGUAAAGAGCUCGUAGGCGGUCUGUCGCGUCUGCUGUGAAAACCUGGGGCUUAACCCUGGGCUUGCAGUGGGUACGGGCAGACUAGAGUGCGGUAGGAGAGACUGGAAUUCCUGGUGUAGCGGUGAAAUGCGCAGAUAUCAGGAGGAACACCGGUGGCGAAGGCGGGUCUCUGGGCCGUAACUGACGCUGAGGAGCGAAAGCAUGGGUAGCGAACAGG